UCCGCCCACUCUGAAGAGUCUCGGCGUCUGAUUGGUCCAAUUUUCAGUUAGGCGCUGCCUGAUUGGCCAGUGGAUGAUGUCGGAUCCUAACAGAGGGCUAAAUCACUAGUUAACUAUUUUCAUCAUGGAAGUUAUACAGCUCACGUAUCACACUUAAUAUUGAAUAUAUAUAUAAAAAGGGUUUUCCAAAAGGACCAUUUAUAAUCGAAAUACAAAACUUCACACACGAUUUUGAGCACAACAGAGCGCUCAGUGAACAUCACUUCCGGGACCUGCAGCACCAGAGGGGGACAUCUAUCUUGGCCACAAACCAUCUUUGACAGUCUUCGACAGCAUGGUUGAAUCAGGUGAGCAUAAAAUGGAGUUUAACGUAAUUAAAUAGACCAAUGUUUUUUAACAUAGGAAAAUAAUUCAUUAUAAACAACAGUUAAAUGUUUGUUUUUAUUAAUUGCAAUCAGAUUUGAUUUUAUGAGGUUAAAUUAAGCAUUUCAGUUCUGGGCCAAGGCCAAGGCAUUUAAAUUUUUUUUUUUUAAAGUUGCAUGGAAGAUUGUAAGUAGCAGUGAUUGUCACACACUAGGUGUGGUGAAAUUAUUCUCUGCAUUUGACCCAUCACCCUUGAUCACUAUGCUAGUAAACCUUUUCUUAAUUUUAAACAAGACAGACUAGAGUUCUUCAAAUUGUUUAUACUUUUUCUCAAAUACAAAUAUUUCAAGCUGAUAAGCACUGUGGAGUUGGCAUGUUACUGAUAUUGUUACAUUAGUUCUUUGUUUGAGAAGCUUCAUGUCUGCAUUGAGCCUAAAUUUAACAGUUUUUGAAGGGUUUAGUUCUUUGUUUUAUAUCUGUGUCACUGACUUUUUUCAUUUUUAUGUUUGGAUUUGUUAGGCGCAUCAACACAUGAUGUAGACAUCGUGUCCAAAAGAAGAGCGAGACGUAAUCCUGAGGCUGAAGCCACCGAGUUUAUGUGAUCUGGAUGUGACAAGUCUUGUUUUAAGGCCCAGUGGAUCAAUGAUUGGAAAGACACCAACUGUUGAUGUUCUAUCUCAACAUUCUCCAGAUUCAUGUGAGCGAUAAACCGACUUCAUCCCUCCAACAGACACCAACUGUUGGGGUUCUAUCUCAACAUUCUCCAGAUUCAGAUGUGAGCGAUAAACCGACUUCAUCCCUCCAACAGAAACCAACUGUUGAGGUUCCAUCUCAACAUUCUCCAGAUUCAGAUGUGAGCCAUUAACUGACUUCAUCCCUCCAACAGGUUAUUACAUGUCUAUUUUUACUAUAUCUGCUCUAAAUUUGACCCAACCUAUAUUUUGAAAGACAUUUAUUUAUU
This is a long non-coding RNA of Nerophis ophidion (straightnose pipefish), 1324 nucleotides long. RefSeq lists it as uncharacterized. The record is from RefSeq and is a predicted model, not a curated record. Lineage: Eukaryota; Metazoa; Chordata; Actinopteri; Syngnathiformes; Syngnathidae. The transcript has 4 exons.